Halichondria panicea is the source of this 587-nucleotide long non-coding RNA. RefSeq lists it as uncharacterized. NCBI's taxonomy places the organism in Eukaryota, Metazoa, Porifera, Demospongiae, Suberitida, Halichondriidae. The record is from RefSeq and is a predicted model, not a curated record. The transcript is spliced from 3 exons.
UGCAUGCCUCUCUGCCAUGCUCACCAGAUUACAGGAAACAGCAAGCCUAUCUACUAUACUAGCUCCUACUGCUAUACUCAAGUCAAGUCUCUAUAUCACUGGAAGGAUUUCAAUACAAACAACGUCCUCCUCCUUAAGGACGAGGACAGUGGACGGACAGCGACUGAUACUGGCACUCCUCACCUGGGUUGUACUGCAAGGGUGGAGUUAUAUCCAGCAUUAUAAUAAUAGGCAUCAUUAUUAUUACUGCAUGAGCAUUACAUUACAUGCUGUGUCCUAACCUCUGCCCUAACAAUGUUAUUAUCACAAUACAUGUUCUGGGAGACCACUGGCGGAAUUUGGAGAAUACUAAAGGAAACAACACUAUACAGAGUAUCUACUGCUACUAUACAUUAAGUCAAGUCUGUAUGGAGCAUCUCUUCACCGGCAAUGACAUCACUGGCAUUGGUGGAAUACAAUGUCCUCCUCCUUAAGAAAAACUACUACACUCAACUACAUCUCAUCAGUCAUAAUUCAAUCAUCAACUCGUUUUAUUUAUUGGGGGCCCUUUCAUAUUUUCAUUUUUUUUCAUUUUCGUUGUUAUAAAU